UUGCAUUCCUAUGGACAG
RNAcentral lists this unclassified non-coding RNA (18 nucleotides) under Mus musculus (house mouse). RNAcentral's name for it is "oocyte_clustered_small_RNA12287". The record is from RNAcentral. Lineage: Eukaryota; Metazoa; Chordata; Mammalia; Rodentia; Muridae.